AAUAAAAACAUCUUUGAUUUCGCUGCAAAUAUUUUUGAAAUACGAAUAAAUAGGGAAGGGAGUUUUGUGAUGGACUGGAGUUUGGCAAUCGUUAUUGGCUGCCUUUUAUUGAUGGGCUAUUUUGUGUAUUUGGCGAUUACGGACUAAUGUUAAAAUAGGGGCGGAC
RNAcentral lists this small RNA (166 nucleotides) under Bacillus methanolicus MGA3. RNAcentral's name for it is "non-coding RNA with unknown function". The record is from RNAcentral. Lineage: Bacteria; Bacillati; Bacillota; Bacilli; Caryophanales; Bacillaceae.